UCGUAGUCCGAUACCCAUCCGCCUUCGGGCCGGAACCUCAGCAGGCUGGCGACGGCGCCCGGCGCCCCGCCCUCCGGUGCUGGCUGGCGGAUUGCAAUGUCACCUCGCGCGGGGAUGCAUCCUCUGCAGACGACUCAAGUGACCAAGCGGGUCGUGUAAGCGGUCAAGUAGCCUUGUUGCUACGAGUCGCUGAGCGUCACCCGCCCUUGGCUAGAUUU
Molecule: ribosomal RNA, 218 nt
Filed under: Aspergillus niveus
Lineage: Eukaryota; Fungi; Ascomycota; Eurotiomycetes; Eurotiales; Aspergillaceae
Description: partial 28S large subunit ribosomal RNA
Rfam family: Eukaryotic large subunit ribosomal RNA (bases 117-218)
Source: RNAcentral